GCGGGUGUAGUUCAAUGGUAGAACUGUAGCUUCCCAAGCUACUAGCGUGGGUUCGAUUCCCAUCACCCGCUCCA
This 74-nucleotide transfer RNA is filed under the name Klebsiella aerogenes. RNAcentral's name for it is "tRNA-Gly". It matches the Rfam family "tRNA". Rfam says of the family: Transfer RNA (tRNA) molecules are approximately 80 nucleotides in length. Their secondary structure includes four short double-helical elements and three loops (D, anti-codon, and T loops). Lineage: Bacteria; Pseudomonadati; Pseudomonadota; Gammaproteobacteria; Enterobacterales; Enterobacteriaceae. RNAcentral also lists the same sequence under 19 other names. The record is from RNAcentral.